This 722-nucleotide non-coding RNA is filed under the name Macrosteles quadrimaculatus. The record is from RNAcentral. Lineage: Eukaryota; Metazoa; Arthropoda; Insecta; Hemiptera; Cicadellidae.
AAAAUUAAUUAAUUAAUUUAAUUAUAUGGAUUAUUUUAAUAUUUUUUAUUCCAGUAAACAAUUUUAAUUAAUACUAUUGUUAUUUAUUUAGAAAUUUAAUUUAAAAUAGAUUAAAAUUUGUGCCAGCAUUCGCGGUUAUACAAUUUAUUUUAGUUAAUUUUAUAGGAAAUUAAUUUUUAAUUUUAAUUUUGGGAAAUAAUAUAUUUUUAUUUAGGUGGAAUUUAUAUAGAUAGAUAAAUUCCUUAAUUUUUUUUAAGAAAUUUCAUUUUUAAACUAGGAUUAGAUACCCUAUUAUUUGUUAUGUUUAUUUUAUCCUGAAUAGUAUUAGUUAUGUUCUUUUAAGCUCAAAAAAUAUGGCGGUAAAAUAUCUAUUUAGAGGAACCUGUAAAUUAAUUGACAAACCACGAUAAUUUGUACUUUAUAUUAUAUUUGUAUAUCUCUAUAUUUUGGAGUGUUUUGAUAAAAUAUUUUCUUUUACUAAUAAUAGUUAUAUGUUAGGUCAAGGUGCAGUUUUUUUAAAGUUUUUAUGGGUUACAUUUAAUAAUAAAUAUAUUUAAAAUUAAUUUUUAAUUAAAAAUUAUGAAUUGGGAUUUAAUAGUAAAUUGUAUUAAUUAAUAUUUUUGAAUUUUUUACUGUUUUAUGUACAUAUCGCCCGUCACUCCUAAAUUAAUUUAGGAUAAGUCGUAACAAAGUAAUUUUAUCGGAAGAUGAAGUUAGAAUUU